This 465-nucleotide ribosomal RNA is filed under the name uncultured bacterium. Its description in RNAcentral is "bacterial SSU rRNA". It matches the Rfam family "Bacterial small subunit ribosomal RNA", at positions 338 to 795 of the family's 1533-position model. The record is from RNAcentral.
CCUACGGGUGGCACCAGUAGGGAAUCUUCGGCAAUGGACGAAAGUCUGACCGAGCAACGCCGCGUGAGUGAAGAAGGUUUUCGGAUCGUAAAAUUCUGUUGGUAGAGAAGAACGUUGGUGAGAGUGGAAAGCUCAUCAAGUGACGGUAACUACCCAGAAUGGGACGGCUAACUACGUGCCAGCAGCCGCGGUAAUACGUAGGUCCCGAGCGUUGUCCGGAUUUAUUGGGCGUAAAGCGAGCGCAGGUGGUUUAUUAAGUCUGGUGUAAAAGGCAGUGGCUCAACCAUUGUAUGCAUUGGAAACUGGUAGACUUGAGUGCAGGAGAGGAGAGUGGAAUUCCAUGUGUAGCGGUGAAAUGCGUAGAUAUAUGGGGGAACACCGGUGGCGAAAGCGGCUCUCUGGUCUGUAACUGACGCUGAGGCUCGAAAGCGUGGGGAGCAAACAGGAUUAGAUACCCCGGUAGUC